This 418-nucleotide non-coding RNA is filed under the name Haematococcus sp. NG2. Lineage: Eukaryota; Viridiplantae; Chlorophyta; Chlorophyceae; Chlamydomonadales; Haematococcaceae. The record is from RNAcentral.
UACGCCCCUGCUGCCAUGUGUGGGUCUCCAGCAUCAUGCAACGCUCAGGGUGGCACAUCUCUACACCGCCCUCAUAACCCUAAAUGCAAGGAGUUGGCACUCCCCUCGCUGCUCCCCCAAGGCAGUGAGCCUUCCUCGGGGCCUUCAGCUUGAGCUUCGCCCCUGCAGCACCCUAGUCUGCCUCCACAAGCAGGUCAGGGUGGCUGCUCAACAGUAAGCCCAUCAGCAUGGGCUGCUGACUCAGCACAGACUCUCACCCCCCUAAGGAUGUGACCCACAGCAUGCCCCCAGCACCGAGGGGGGCGCGGCAGUGCAGCUGGCGCACAGCGGAGGCUGCAGCAAUGGUUUGGCCAUGCGCCGCGCCCGAGUCCGGGUGCAGGUGGCGCGUGUGGGCACGCGCGGCAGGGGCUGCAUAUUU